CAACCGAAGUUGCCCCCUUGAAUUCUGCGCGCGACCGCCCUUAAAUAUCCUGGCAUUUAAUGCAUGCAUGCCGGAGUCUUUUCAAAUCGGGGCGAUCCGAAGAGACUUUUCAAAAUUUCUGCUGGAGCGUUGCUCCAGGUGCCACGCCAUAAUGGCCCUGCCAGCAGUCAACCGUAUGCCAUGGUGAGUGGGACACAUGGCGGGCAUUGGUCGGCCUAGGGAUAUCCACCGUCAUGACUGUGCCAGGCCCUGUUGCCUAUUUAAACCCACUCCCUCCCUCCAGGGACUUCACUUCGCUUGAGAGUCCAGUCGGCGCCUUUCUUCUAUCUGAGAGUUCUGCCGCCCAUCGGCGCCCUUUUCGACCCUAAGCGUUCUUUGCGUCAAUCCCCGCCAUCUCCGCUGGCUCCCCGCCUACGUCAGGCCAAUCUAGGUUGGUCCCGAAACUUCUCUUGUCAUUGCUGUUGUUCCUUCCUCUUCUUGCUUUGUUUGUUCAGCUUCCGAGGGUAUUUUCGCAAUCUUUUCUGAUCUUUCGGGAUUUCCUUCUUUCUUUUCUCUUGUUGCAGGCACGGACGUAGGA
Molecule: long non-coding RNA, 577 nt
Filed under: Elaeis guineensis (African oil palm)
Lineage: Eukaryota; Viridiplantae; Streptophyta; Magnoliopsida; Arecales; Arecaceae
Description: long non-coding RNA (EGUI_LNC060175)
Source: RNAcentral